Molecule: transfer RNA, 87 nt
Filed under: Magnetovibrio blakemorei
Lineage: Bacteria; Pseudomonadati; Pseudomonadota; Alphaproteobacteria; Rhodospirillales; Magnetovibrionaceae
Description: tRNA-Leu
Rfam family: tRNA
About the family: Transfer RNA (tRNA) molecules are approximately 80 nucleotides in length.
Source: RNAcentral
GCCCCUGUGGCGGAACUGGUAGACGCGCGGGAUUCAAAAUCCCGUUCUCGCAAGGGAGUGCCGGUUCGAUUCCGGCUGGGGGCACCA